Molecule: ribosomal RNA, 382 nt
Filed under: uncultured eukaryote
Lineage: Eukaryota
Description: partial 18S ribosomal RNA
Rfam family: Eukaryotic small subunit ribosomal RNA
Source: RNAcentral
UGUAAGCGUAUACCAAAGUUGUUGCAGUUAAAACGCUCGUAGUCGGAAUUUGGCAGUUCCGGAUGUGUGCACGUCGUGUGCGCACUUCGCGGGGAUUGCUUUUGUGGUCUUGCGUAGGAUGAGGCACUUUUAUUAGUGAACGUCCUCACGCAACCACUUUUUACUGUGAGAAAAGCAGAGUGCUCAAAGCAGGCAUUUGCCGUGAAUGUAUUAGCAUGGAAUAAUAGAAUAGGACUUGGUUCUAUUUUGUUGGUUUGUUGGGACUGAGUAAUGAUUAAGAGGGACAGUUGGGGGCAUUUGUAUUUCGGUGCUAGAGGUGAAAUUCUUAGAUUACCGAAAGACAAACUGCUGCGAAAGCGUCUGCCAAGGAUGUUUUCAUUGA